RNAcentral lists this unclassified non-coding RNA (715 nucleotides) under Fusarium equiseti. RNAcentral's name for it is "sequence contains ITS1, 5.8S rRNA gene, ITS2". The stretch from base 501 to 715 matches the Rfam family "Eukaryotic large subunit ribosomal RNA", at positions 1 to 219 of the family's 3401-position model. The record is from RNAcentral. Lineage: Eukaryota; Fungi; Ascomycota; Sordariomycetes; Hypocreales; Nectriaceae.
GUAACAAGGUCUCCGUUGGUGAACCAGCGGAGGGAUCAUUACCGAGUUUACAACUCCCAAACCCCUGUGAACAUACCUAUACGUUGCCUCGGCGGAUCAGCCCGCGCCCCGUAAAACGGGACGGCCCGCCCGAGGACCCCUAAACUCUGUUUUUAGUGGAACUUCUGAGUAAAACAAACAAAUAAAUCAAAACUUUCAACAACGGAUCUCUUGGUUCUGGCAUCGAUGAAGAACGCAGCAAAAUGCGAUAAGUAAUGUGAAUUGCAGAAUUCAGUGAAUCAUCGAAUCUUUGAACGCACAUUGCGCCCGCCAGUAUUCUGGCGGGCAUGCCUGUUCGAGCGUCAUUUCAACCCUCAAGCUCAGCUUGGUGUUGGGACUCGCGGUAACCCGCGUUCCCCAAAUCGAUUGGCGGUCACGUCGAGCUUCCAUAGCGUAGUAAUCAUACACCUCGUUACUGGUAAUCGUCGCGGCCACGCCGUUAAACCCCAACUUCUGAAUGUUGACCUCGGAUCAGGUAGGAAUACCCGCUGAACUUAAGCAUAUCAAUAAGCGGAGGAAAAGAAACCAACAGGGAUUGCCCUAGUAACGGCGAGUGAAGCGGCAACAGCUCAAAUUUGAAAUCUGGCUCUCGGGCCCGAGUUGUAAUUUGUAGAGGAUGCUUUUGAUGCGGUGCCUUCCGAGUUCCCUGGAACGGGACGCCAUAGAGGGUGAGAGC